Molecule: non-coding RNA, 393 nt
Organism: Misgurnus anguillicaudatus (oriental weatherfish)
Lineage: Eukaryota; Metazoa; Chordata; Actinopteri; Cypriniformes; Cobitidae
Source: RefSeq, a predicted model, not a curated record
UGCAUGUAUGUAUGUAUCUUUGGGCGUGCGUCUGUGUAUUUUGAAUUUAAAAUGUUUUAACUCGGAAGGAUCUGGAUCACAGGUCAUUUCAUCUGAGAUCAAUCCGCACGCAACAGCUGGAAUCACUUACUGUUUCACACAAGGAAGGACACAAGUCAGCCGUUUCCUCAAGUUCAAGUCAGAGCGGAGAUGAUGUGAGAGGCUGACCAGAAGGAAACAGCGAGACAGUCUCCGCUUGGACUGGCUGAGGAAAGUCUCCUAAAUGGCCCUGGAGAUGUUCUGACUGACUUUGGAGGCUUUUUGGACUGUUUUAUGCCCUCUAUUUAAAGAAGACUUAAUUCUGUAUGUUCAGCCUGUAUGAUAAGUGAAUAAAAAGCUUUUGUUUUUAUGUGA